GGAAUCUUCCACAAUGGACGAAAGUCUGAUGGAGCAACGCCGCGUGAGUGAAGAAGGGUUUCGGCUCGUAAAACUCUGUUGUUAAAGAAGAACAUAUCUGAGAGUAACUGUUAGUCCUUUGACGGUAUCCAACCAGAAAGCCACGGCUAACUACGUGCCAGCAGCCGCGGUAAUACGUAGGUGGCAAGCGUUGUCCGGAUUUAUUGGGCGUAAAGCGAGCGCAGGCGGUUUUUUAAGUCUGAUGUGAAAGCCUUCGGCUUAACCGAAGAAGUGCAUUAGAAACUGGAAAACUUGAGUGCAGAAGAGGACAGUGGAACUCCAUGUGUAGCGGUGAAAUGCGUAGAUAUAUGGAAGAACACCAGUGGCGAAGGCGGCUGUCUGGACUGUAACUGACGCUGAGGCUCGAAAGUAUGGAGAGCGAACA
RNAcentral lists this ribosomal RNA (424 nucleotides) under uncultured Lactobacillus sp. RNAcentral describes it as "bacterial SSU rRNA". It matches the Rfam family "Bacterial small subunit ribosomal RNA", at positions 358 to 774 of the family's 1533-position model. The record is from RNAcentral. Lineage: Bacteria; Bacillati; Bacillota; Bacilli; Lactobacillales; Lactobacillaceae.